RNAcentral lists this Y RNA (101 nucleotides) under Aotus nancymaae (Ma's night monkey). RNAcentral's name for it is "Y RNA (ENSANAG00000004300.1)". It matches the Rfam family "Y RNA". From Rfam's summary of the family: Y RNAs are components of the Ro ribonucleoprotein particle (Ro RNP), in association with Ro60 and La proteins. The Y RNAs and Ro60 and La proteins are well conserved, but the function of the Ro RNP is not known. In humans the RNA component can be one of four small RNAs -- hY1, hY3, hY4 and hY5. The record is from Rfam by way of RNAcentral. Lineage: Eukaryota; Metazoa; Chordata; Mammalia; Primates; Aotidae.
GGCUGGUCCAAAGGUAGUGAGUUAUCUCAACUGAUUGUUCACAGUCAGUUACAGAUCAAACUCCUUCCCUGCUUCUCACAACUGCACUUGACUAGUCUGAA